GUCUAUGGCCAUGCCACCCUGAACAAGCCUGAUGUCUGAUCUCAGAAGCUAAGCAGGGUCGGGCCUGGUUAGUACUUGGAUGGGAGACCACCUACGAAGACCAGGUGCUGUAGGCA
RNAcentral lists this ribosomal RNA (116 nucleotides) under Pteropus alecto (black flying fox). Lineage: Eukaryota; Metazoa; Chordata; Mammalia; Chiroptera; Pteropodidae. The record is from RNAcentral. RNAcentral also lists the same sequence under 1 other name.